RNAcentral lists this unclassified non-coding RNA (434 nucleotides) under uncultured Gomphales. RNAcentral describes it as "sequence contains ITS2". The stretch from base 1 to 155 matches the Rfam family "5.8S ribosomal RNA". Lineage: Eukaryota; Fungi; Basidiomycota; Agaricomycetes. The record is from RNAcentral.
AACUUUCAACAAUGGAUCUCUUGGCUCUCGCAUCGAUGAAGGACGCCGCGAACGCGCGAAACGUAAUGUGAAUUGCAGAAUUCAGUGAAUCAUCGACUCUUUGAACGCAUCUUGCGCUCCUUGGCAUUCCGAGGAGCAUGCCUGUUUGAGAGUCGUGAACGUGCUCAAGCCUGUGGCUUGGAAUUGGACGCCUUGUCGCGUUAAGGCCCUUUGGGGCCGUCGGCGACUCGUCUUGAAACGCAUAUAGUCGGCCUCGGUCGAAGUCGAAAUGCGGUGUGAUAAUUAAAUCGACGUCGCGGACGCUUCGAACUCGAGGGCGACUUCAAACGGUCCGACUUAGUGUGGACUGCCCUCUGGGGUAAACCGUGUAAGCGUCUGACCUCAAAUCAGGUAGGACUACCCGCUGAACUUAAGCAUAUCAAUAAGCGGAGGAU